GCACAACCGGAGGCUGCAGUUUCAGGUCCGCAGUUCUAGGACCGCAUUUCUAGGACCCUGUUUUUUUGUAACAGCGCCACCUACCGAAUUGGAUCACCGAAGAUGGACGACAUGGACAGCAAUCAAAGUUGCUAUCUCUGAGGAAAUCCACAUUCAGGCUUUCGAUGACUGCACCCAGGGUCGUUCCUGGCUGACACGGGGCCCGGUGCGAGGUAGGGAGCGGGGCCCCCCUCUGUCCAUUCAUGAUCUGUUCGCCACGGGGCCCCCUCACAGCGCGGGGCCCGGUGCGACCGCACCAGUUGCACCGCCCAAAGGAUGGCCCUGACUGCACCGCAGAGGAAAAGAGACUGGUGGACUUCAUUGUAAAGUUACUGGGAUCAGAGGAGCGUUUGGGUGUACUCAAAGGGAAGCCCUAAAAUUUCCUCGACAGUGAGGAACAACAGAACAUCCUUUUUGUCUAUUUGAGAGGAGCACUGCAUAGGACAACAACACAACUGAGCUUCACAGAUGGAGUGCAGUUCAUCUGUGGUGUUCUUAUUACAAACAGAGGAGGCUGAGCAGGUCUUCCUUUCUGGUCCGGAUUAUCAUUACAGGAGUUGAAGCCUACAGCCUUUCUGCCCAUGCAGCAACUGAUGGAAAAGGGGGUCUUUUUUACGAUGUUGUAUUACGUGUUAUUUAAAAAAUGAGUAUAUAUAUAAAUAUAAAUUCUUGAAUCAUUCUUAGGUCGUGUCUUGCCUCUUCAUAAACUUUUAAACAUCUGGCUGUAAUUUAAUGACUGCACAUGCUGAUUUCAUUUGAUUCCAUCUUUAUUAGGCUAUACCUGAUAAUGAGCUAAUUAAUUAAAUUUAAGGGGUUAAUCAAUAUAUUUCAAGACUUAAAGGGAUAGUU
Long non-coding RNA from Onychostoma macrolepis, 888 nucleotides. RefSeq lists it as uncharacterized. NCBI's taxonomy places the organism in Eukaryota, Metazoa, Chordata, Actinopteri, Cypriniformes, Cyprinidae. The transcript is spliced from 5 exons. The record is from RefSeq and is a predicted model, not a curated record.